This 492-nucleotide ribosomal RNA is filed under the name uncultured bacterium. RNAcentral describes it as "partial 16S ribosomal RNA". It matches the Rfam family "Bacterial small subunit ribosomal RNA", at positions 29 to 507 of the family's 1533-position model. The record is from RNAcentral.
AGUGAACGCUGGCGGUAUGCCUAACACAUGCAAGUCGAACGGCAGCACAGUAAGAUCUUGCUCUUACGGGUGGCGAGUGGCGGACGGGUGAGGAAUACAUCGGAAUCUACUUUUUCGGGGGGGAUAACGUAGGGAAACUUACGCUAAUACCGCAUACGACCUACGGGUGAAAGCAGUGGAUCUUCGGACCUUUCGCGAUUGAAUGAGCCGAUGUCGGAUUAGCUAGUUGGCGUGGUAAAGGCCCACCAAGGCGACGAUCCGUAGCUGGUCUGAGAGGAUGAUCAGCCACACUGGAACUGAGACACGGUCCAGACUCCUACGGGAGGCAGCAGUGGGGAAUAUUGGACAAUGGGCGCAAGCCUGAUCCAGCCAUACCGCGUGGGUGAAGAAGGCCUUCGGGUUGUAAAGCCCUUUUGUUGGGAAAGAAAAGCAGCAGGUUAAUACCCCGCUGUUCUGACGGUACCCAAAGAAUAAGCACCGGCUAACUUCGUG